AGCGGAUGAAGGGAGCUUGCUCCUGGAUUCAGCGGCGGACGGGUGAGUAAUGCCUAGGAAUCUGCCUGGUAGUGGGGGAUAACGUUCCGAAAGGAACGCUAAUACCGCGUACGUCCUACGGGAGAAAGCAGGGGACCUUCGGGCCUUGCGCUAUCAGAUGAGCCUAGGUCGGAUUAGCUAGUUGGUGAGGUAAUGGCUCACCAAGGCGACGAUCCGUAACUGGUCUGAGAGGAUGAUCAGUCACACUGGAACUGAGACACGGUCCAGACUCCUACGGGAGGCAGCAGUGGGGAAUAUUGGACAAUGGGCGAAAGCCUGAUCCAGCCAUGCCGCGUGUGUGAAGAAGGUCUUCGGAUUGUAAAGCACUUUAAGUUGGGAGGAAGGGCUGUAGGCUAAUAUCCUGCGGUUUUGACGUUACCAACAGAAUAAGCACCGGCUAACUUCGUGCCAGCAGCCGCGGUAAUACGAAGGGUGCAAGCGUUAAUCGGAAUUACUGGGCGUAAAGCGCGCGUAGGUGGUUCGUUAAGUUGGAUGUGAAAGCCCCGGGCUCAACCUGGGAACUGCAUCCAAAACUGGCGAGCUAGAGUACGGUAGAGGGUAGUGGAAUUUCCUGUGUAGCGGUGAAAUGCGUAGAUAUAGGAAGGAACACCAGUGGCGAAGGCGACUACCUGGACUGAUACUGACACUGAGGUGCGAAAGCGUGGGGAGCAAACAGGAUUAGAUACCCUGGUAGUCCACGCCGUAAACGAUGUCAACUAGCCGUUGGAAUCCUUGAGAUUUUAGUGGCGCAGCUAACGCAU
Molecule: ribosomal RNA, 800 nt
Filed under: Pseudomonas sp.
Lineage: Bacteria; Pseudomonadati; Pseudomonadota; Gammaproteobacteria; Pseudomonadales; Pseudomonadaceae
Description: bacterial SSU rRNA
Rfam family: Bacterial small subunit ribosomal RNA
Source: RNAcentral